AGACAGAAUUUGGGGAGCUUGUAUUACAGGCUGAGAGGAAGAUGUGAGCUUCGACCCACGAACCUGAUACGGAUAAUGCCGAUGUAGGAAAAUUUUAAGACAUAUCG
This 107-nucleotide non-coding RNA is filed under the name [Bacteroides] pectinophilus. RNAcentral describes it as "Bacteroides pectinophilus TPP sequence". It matches the Rfam family "TPP riboswitch aptamer (THI element)". From Rfam's summary of the family: Vitamin B(1) in its active form thiamin pyrophosphate (TPP) is an essential coenzyme that is synthesised by coupling of pyrimidine and thiazole moieties in bacteria. The previously detected thiamin-regulatory element, thi box was extended, resulting in a new, highly conserved RNA secondary structure, the THI element, which is widely distributed in eubacteria and also occurs in some archaea. Lineage: Bacteria; Bacillati; Bacillota; Clostridia; Eubacteriales. The record is from RNAcentral. RNAcentral also lists the same sequence under 1 other name.